Molecule: unclassified non-coding RNA, 206 nt
Filed under: plant metagenome
Description: partial contains small subunit ribosomal RNA, internal transcribed spacer 1, and 5.8S ribosomal RNA
Source: RNAcentral
UAUCCGUAGGUGAACCUGCGGAGGGAUCAUUACCAGAGAUGGCGGGCCUCCGUGCCCCCGUCCCCAACCCAUUGUUGACCAAAACCUUUUUGCCUCGGGGGCAGAGCGUCCGCCGCCGCCCCCGGAGGACCACCGAACGCUGUCUCUAUACGUCGGAGUAUUGAUUAAAUGAAUGAAAACUUUCAACAACGGAUCUCUUGGUUCUG